This 489-nucleotide ribosomal RNA is filed under the name uncultured bacterium. RNAcentral's name for it is "partial 16S ribosomal RNA". It matches the Rfam family "Bacterial small subunit ribosomal RNA", at positions 28 to 507 of the family's 1533-position model. The record is from RNAcentral.
GACGAACGCUGGCGGCGUGCUUAACACAUGCAAGUCGAACGGUGAAGGGAUCAGCUUGCUGGUUCUGGAUGAGUGGCGAACGGGUGAGUAACACGUGAGUAACCUGCCCCCUUCUUCUGGAUAACCGCAUGAAAGUGUGGCUAAUACGGGAUAUUCUGGGUCUGUCGCAUGAUGGGUCUGGGAAAGAUAUUGUUUCGGUGGGGGAUGGGCUCGCGGCCUAUCAGCUUGUUGGUGGGGUGAUGGCCUACCAAGGCGGUGACGGGUAGCCGGCCUGAGAGGGUGGACGGUCACACUGGGACUGAGACACGGCCCAGACUGCUACGGGAGGCAGCAGUGGGGAAUAUGGCACAAUGGGCGCAAGCCUGAUGCAGCGACGCCGCGUGAGGGAUGGAGGCCUUCGGGUUGUAAACCUCUUUCGCCAGUGAAGCAGGCCUGCUCCUUGUGGGUGGGUUGACGGUAGCUGGAUAAGAAGCGCCGGCUAACUACGUG